This 253-nucleotide ribosomal RNA is filed under the name uncultured bacterium. Its description in RNAcentral is "partial 16S ribosomal RNA". It matches the Rfam family "Bacterial small subunit ribosomal RNA", at positions 524 to 776 of the family's 1533-position model. The record is from RNAcentral.
CACGUAGGGCGCGAGCGUUGUCCGGAAUUAUUGGGCGUAAAGAGCUCGUAGGCGGCCUGUUGCGUCCGCUGUGAAAGUCCGGGGCUUAACCCCGGGUCUGCAGUGGAUACGGGCAGGCUAGAGGUAGGUAGGGGAGAAUGGAAUUCCCGGUGUAGCGGUGAAAUGCGCAGAUAUCGGGAGGAACACCGGUGGCGAAGGCGGUUCUCUGGGCCUUACCUGACGCUGAGGAGCGAAAGCGUGGGGAGCGAACAGG